This 336-nucleotide ribosomal RNA is filed under the name Triticum aestivum (bread wheat). RNAcentral's name for it is "partial small subunit ribosomal RNA". Lineage: Eukaryota; Viridiplantae; Streptophyta; Magnoliopsida; Poales; Poaceae. The record is from RNAcentral.
AUGAGUUCCCAAAUUAAAAAGGGGAUGGAGAAGGGAAGAGAAAUAAGAAUGGAGAGGGGAAGAAAAAUGUGGGAGGACCGAAAAAGCCUCGCACCUGCAGGACAUGUAACCAGGUUGGCUUCCAUGACAGUCGUAGUUGCCCCCAAAAGAAUCAACAAUAAUAAAGGUAGUUAUCAUACACACAAAAUAGCUAUAUUAUUUCAUAAUUUGUAUGCUCAUUCUGACUGUUUUUUUAUGUUUAUCUGCAGGUUCCUUAAUUUCGAUUCGAGGCAACCACUUGUUUUUAUUUUGGGCAGUACAAGAUUGAAGUCCAAGCCUCAAUAUUUUCUUCUCUGA